GUCUUCUAGCCCUCUGGACCCUUCGAUUAGAGAUGGCCUUAGUUUUAGGGUAAACUUCCAUUUGACCCCUUGCACUAUUACUCUAGUUGAUUUGACACCCUGAACUAUUUGAAAUAAGUCAGUUAACCCUUUGUCGGUAGAUUCCAUCCAUUAUUUCGUCAAAUUCAAAAGAAAAUUAGUCUUUCCUUCAUCAAUUCUUAUUGUCAACUAUAACCAACAAUGUAAUUAUGACACGACAAAACAAAAUAAUGUGAAAUGGUCCGUUAUGUAAACGUUUGGUUGUUUAUGUUUACUCAUUAUGCUUUAUAUUUUUAAAUUAUUUUGUGUCCAUAUGUUAAAAUUUUAUUGGUGGUUAUAACUGACAAGUAACAAUUAAUGAUGAAUGACUAAUUUGCCAUUGAAUUUGACGGAAUUGAUUUUAAAUGUUCAAGGGGUUGAAGUACCAAAAAAAUAGUUUAAGGGGUCAAUUUCAACUAGAGUGAUAGUUCAAGGGGUUAAAUCGCAAUUUACCUUUAAUUUUAGGAAGAUUCUGAUGUCGUUUCUGCCGCUUUAUUUUUCGUUGAUUUAUGCCAUUCAAUUGAUAGUUCAAACUGAAGAGUGUGAGGAUAUACUUGCAUUUUGGCACUUAGGCCCUCAAUGGUCGAUAAAUGAAAACUAAUGAAAAAAACUUGAAAACUUUGAGUUUUAACGAUAAGAACAAAAUAAAAGGUAAAGUGAAUAGUACCAGAAUUGACGUUUUAGUGUAAAAAUGUGGUUUUUCGUUAAAGUGAACAGUAUUGGGAGCUUUUUGUUUAAGUUCUCGUUCGAAAAAGAAAAAAAAUGCACGUUAGUCCACGUAGGUAGAAGGCUACCAGAAAUUUUUCACUGUCAGCACAGUACAUUAAGUGUUAUACUAUUACGUAGUGAAGAAAUUUUUAUUUUCAAAUAUCCAACCACUUAUAUUAUUUCAUU
RNAcentral lists this long non-coding RNA (951 nucleotides) under Malus domestica (apple). Its description in RNAcentral is "long non-coding RNA (MDOM_LNC007473)". Lineage: Eukaryota; Viridiplantae; Streptophyta; Magnoliopsida; Rosales; Rosaceae. The record is from RNAcentral.